RNAcentral lists this ribosomal RNA (253 nucleotides) under uncultured bacterium. RNAcentral describes it as "partial 16S ribosomal RNA". It matches the Rfam family "Bacterial small subunit ribosomal RNA", at positions 524 to 776 of the family's 1533-position model. The record is from RNAcentral.
UACGUAGGUGGCAAGCGUUGUCCGGAUUUACUGGGCGUAAAGAGCGCGCAGGCGGCCGGAUAAGUCGAAUGUGAAAGCCCCCGGCUCAACUGGGGAGGGUCAUUCGAUACUGUUCGACUCGAAGGCAGGAGAGGGAAGUGGAAUUCCCGGUGUAGUGGUGAAAUGCGUAGAUAUCGGGAGGAACACCAGUGGCGAAGGCGACUUCCUGGCCUGUUCUUGACGCUGAGGCGCGAAAGCUAGGGGAGCAAACGGG